CACUGAUAUGUUAUCGAGGAGGGAAGUGGAUACUGGAUAAUUUGUACAUAAUUUUAUAUAUUUUGGAGUACAUAAAUUAAACUUAAAGUCAGACAUCACCUGCUUCUUUCGAUGUUCUACCGACAUCCUAUUUCUACUAAAUAGCAUUGAAGGAUUAAGGUUCGUUGGAGUUGGGACAGAAUACUGUAUUCCCAAAAGCUGAAAAGGAGUAACUCAUUUCAUAUCGUGUGGAGGUAACUUGGAAACUUUCUUGGCACAAUAACAUAUUAAUUUCUUCCAGUUGGCCGCCUUUAUAUCUGCACACAGGUAUAUAUAUGUAGAUUAGUAGAUACGACUAAAGUUGCAGCGUUAUUCCUACAUGGUUGUAGACACAGGUCAUUAGCUAGUCGCUUGAUAAUCAUGCGAAAUAUCUCUCCUCUCACAAGGCAUUAUUUUAUUAGACAGAAGUUAUAAUGUGUCUAGUUUCGAGGCGAGGAAUAUUCUUGCGUUCGAGCAAGAAUAUUCUUCCGAUCUGUGUAAUGACAACAGGAUAAACGUUACGCUUAUUUCAACACAUACUAUAUAUACUGUACUGAGUGUAUACUAUAUGAAUAUAUUAAAACAACAUUGCUACAUGGUUGUACUUGUUUUAAGUUUUAACUAUUAGCGCUAACUGCCGGGCAAACUCAAACUUUAAGAAUCAAUAUUUUCGGAGAAACAAACUUUUAUUUUAAUAGUGGUAUACUUGUUGCAUAUUUCCAUACACGCGUAAAAAUUGAGAAAAUCAACAACUUGUUGCAAGUUGAUAGCGACAGGCGUGAACAAGGUUGUGUGGCCCGCUAUGAACAUGAUCAGUACUGUCAACACAAAGGCCCAUUUGCAUCAUGAAUGAUGACAUAGCAAAAUUAGGUAAUUUUAACCACCAUGACGAUACAUCUUUUCUCAGUUUUGCAGAGUUCGCUGUUAGAGAACAAUUUGCAAAAGCACUAACAAAUUUACGUAUUUGGAAUUGGAUCAACAUUCAAAGUCGAGAAAAGUAAGUCCAUUUAAUUUAUCACGUAUUUAUAUCUAUAAUCAAUUUGUA
Molecule: long non-coding RNA, 1063 nt
Filed under: Paramuricea clavata
Lineage: Eukaryota; Metazoa; Cnidaria; Anthozoa; Malacalcyonacea; Plexauridae
Source: RNAcentral